Molecule: ribosomal RNA, 497 nt
Filed under: uncultured bacterium
Lineage: Bacteria
Description: bacterial SSU rRNA
Rfam family: Bacterial small subunit ribosomal RNA
Source: RNAcentral
CUGGCUCAGGAUGAACGCUGGCGGCGUGCCUAACACAUGCAAGUCGAACGGAGUAAUUAAGCGGAAGUUUCGGAUGGAAGCAUAGUUACUUAGUGGCGGACGGGUGAGUAACGCGUGGGCAACCUGCCCUGUACCGGGGGAUAACACUUAGAAAUAGGUGCUAAUACCGCAUAAGCGCACAGCUUCGCAUGAAGGUGUGUGAAAAACUCCGGUGGUACAGGAUGGACCCGCGUCUGAUUAGCUAGUUGGUGGGGUAGAGGCCUACCAAGGCGACGAUCAGUAGCCGGCCUGAGAGGGUGACCGGCCACAUUGGGACUGAGACACGGCCCAAACUCCUACGGGAGGCAGCAGUGGGGAAUAUUGCACAAUGGGGGAAACCCUGAUGCAGCGACGCCGCGUGAGUGAAGAAGUAUUUCGGUAUGUAAAGCUCUAUCAGCAGGGAAGAAAAUGACGGUACCUGACUAAGAAGCCCCGGCUAACUACGUGCCAGCCGCGGC